UCUUCACAGGCCACAUCUGAUCUUUUUAGAUGGUUUUGUGUACAAAGUGGAAGCCCUGAAAAUCCACGAGUCAUACUGAUUCAUGGUUUCCCUUCACAGGCGUAUUCUUAUCGCAAAGUUCUACCAAUUCUCUCAAAGAAUUAUCAUGCUAUUGCUUUUGAUUGGCUAGGAUUUGGCUUUUCAGAUAAACCUCAACCCAAAUAUGGCUUUGACUACACUUUGAAUGAAUAUGUCUCAUCCUUGGAAUCUGUUAUCAAUGAACUCUCAAAAGAUAAGGUUACUCUUGUUGUCCAGGGAUACUUUUCACCAGUU
Long non-coding RNA from Olea europaea var. sylvestris, 312 nucleotides. RefSeq lists it as uncharacterized. Lineage: Eukaryota; Viridiplantae; Streptophyta; Magnoliopsida; Lamiales; Oleaceae. The transcript is spliced from 6 exons. The record is from RefSeq and is a predicted model, not a curated record.